GUCGGUAAAACUCGUGCCAGCCACCGCGGUUAUACGAGUUGGCCCAAGUCGAUAGCUUCCGGCGUAAAGCGUGGUUAAGGCCUAAAUUUAAACUAAAGUCGAACUCCUUCAAGCAAGUCAAAUGAUUAUCGAUAAGGAGAAGCCCACCUACGAAAGUGACUUUACUUAACCUGACCCCACGAAAGCUAAGGCACAAACUGGGAUUAGAUACCCCACUAU
This 219-nucleotide ribosomal RNA is filed under the name Eucinostomus melanopterus (flagfin mojarra). Its description in RNAcentral is "partial small subunit ribosomal RNA". It matches the Rfam family "Bacterial small subunit ribosomal RNA", at positions 492 to 793 of the family's 1533-position model. The record is from RNAcentral. Lineage: Eukaryota; Metazoa; Chordata; Actinopteri; Gerreiformes; Gerreidae.